CCUACGGGUGGCAGCAGUGAGGAAUAUUGGUCAAUGGGCGAGAGCCUGAACCAGCCAAGUCGCGUGAAGGAUGACGGCCCUACGGGUUGUAAACUUCUUUUGUCAGGGAGCAAUUGAGUCCACGUGUGGGCUUAGCGAGAGUACCUGAAGAAAAAGCAUCGGCUAACCCCGUACCAGCAGCCGCGGUAAUACGGAGGAUGCGAGCGUUACCCGGAUUUGUGGGGUUUAAAGGGUGCGUAGGCGGAAUAUAAAGUCAGCGGUAAAAAUUCGGGGCCAAACCCAGUCGUGCCGUUGAAACUGGUGUUCUUGAGUGCGCGAGAAGUAUGCGGAAUGCGUGGUGUAGCGGUGAAAUGCAUAGAUAUCACGCAGAACUCCGAGUGCGAAGGCAGCAUACCGGCGCCCAACUGACGCUGAAGCACGAAAGCGUGGGUAUCGAACAGGAUUAGAUACCCCUGUAGUC
Molecule: ribosomal RNA, 460 nt
Filed under: uncultured bacterium
Lineage: Bacteria
Description: partial 16S ribosomal RNA
Rfam family: Bacterial small subunit ribosomal RNA
Source: RNAcentral